This 468-nucleotide ribosomal RNA is filed under the name uncultured bacterium. RNAcentral's name for it is "partial 16S ribosomal RNA". It matches the Rfam family "Bacterial small subunit ribosomal RNA", at positions 28 to 507 of the family's 1533-position model. The record is from RNAcentral.
GACGAACGCUGGCGGCGUGCUUAACACAUGCAAGUCGAACGGAAAGGCCCUGCUUUUGUGGGGUGCUCGAGUGGCGAACGGGUGAGUAACACGUGAGUAACCUGCCCUUGACUUUGGGAUAACUUCAGGAAACUGGGGCUAAUACCGGAUAGGAGCCCCUGCUGCAUGGUGGGGGUUGGAAAGUUUCGGCGGUUGGGGAUGGACUCGCGGCUUAUCAGCUUGUUGGUGGGGUAGUGGCUUACCAAGGCUUUGACGGGUAACCGGCCUGAGAGGGUGACCGGCCACAUUGGGACUGAGAUACGGCCCAGACUCCUACGGGAGGCAGCAGUGGGGAAUAUUGCACAAUGGGCGGAAGCCUGAUGCAGCAACGCCGCGUGCGGGAUGACGGCCUUCGGGUUGUAAACCGCUUUCGCCUGUGACGAAGCGUGAGUGACGGUAAUGGGUAAAGAAGCACCGGCUAACUACGUG